AGCUCCAAUAGCGUAUAUUAAAGUUGUUGCAGUUUAAAAGCUCGUAGUUGGAUUCCUGGUGGGAGGGAUCGGUCCUGCAUUCUUUGUAGGAACUUGUAUCCUCUCCGGCCAUCCUUGGGUGGAUCUUGUCUGGCAUUAAGUUGUCAGUCAGGGGAUGCCCAUCGUUUACUGUAAAAAAAUAGAGUGUCCAAAGCAGGCUUAUGUCAUUGAAUAUAUUAGCAUGGAAUAAUAAGAUAGGGCCCUGGUACUAUUUUGUUGGUUUGCGUACCGAGGUAAUGAUUAAUAGGAACAGUUGGGGGUAUUUGUAUUCAGUAUUCAGUGGUGAUAUACUUAGACCUACGGAAGACAAGCUACUGUGAAAGCAUUUACCAAGGAUGUUUUCA
This 383-nucleotide ribosomal RNA is filed under the name uncultured eukaryote. RNAcentral's name for it is "SSU rRNA". It matches the Rfam family "Eukaryotic small subunit ribosomal RNA", at positions 587 to 972 of the family's 1831-position model. The record is from RNAcentral.